This is a non-coding RNA of Pelobates cultripes (western spadefoot toad), 2429 nucleotides long. Lineage: Eukaryota; Metazoa; Chordata; Amphibia; Anura; Pelobatidae. The record is from the annotation of a GenBank genome assembly.
AGACAAUUUGGGUUAACCCUGGAUGCUAAACAGCAAAACAGAGAAUUAUGGUUAAACCUGGCAAUGCUGGGACAGCCAUGCCUACUGUGCAUGACAAUGGGUGACCGUUAUUUAAAUUUUUAUUUUUUCAACUUCACCUUACUAUAAAUAAGAUGUAUUUUGUUUUUUUGUUUUUAUUUUAGGUGAAAAGGGAGUGAGAAUUGAACUUAAAGCGUCUGACUCUGCUUUGAAAGAUGUUUUUUAAAGACUUUCUGAUGGUAGAAUUUUUUUUCCCUCAAGAAUUCUAAUUUUGCAGAAUGUAUUUGCCACAAAGAAAGCAACAAACAAUGGCUUUCAUGUUAUCUUGUAAAUGUGAAUAUGUGGAAGAAUUAAGUUAAUUUUGUGUUUUUGUUUAAUGUUUAAUCUUGUUGUAUCUUGUGUACAAAUUAGAAUGCCAAUACUACAGUGCUGUUAAUGUUUUAUGAAUAAUUUGAGCAAAGAAAAUGUUCACUCAUAUAUUUGACGUAAAUAUUCUAUAUUCUUAGACUUGUCAAGUAUUUAUUUUUUGAACAAAAAUUAUAUUAAUCCACACGUUUUGUAAUGUUGCAUGGGCAUCCUAAUAUAUGUUUAUUCUGUCAUAUUCACAACCACUACACUGUCUUUUUGUCUUUGCAUUUGAAAUUUUGAAACGGAGUAGUCAUCUGUGAAGAAAGAAAAAUCCUCUAUCACUCUUUAUAUUAUAACACUAGAAGUGUGCAGUAGUAGUUUUAGUGCCAUGAAUCCCCUGGCGAAAUCCCUGUAUAAGCUGUCAAACCAUUUAAAAAUGUAUUGACACUUGAACUGUUUGUCAGGCAGUCAUGGUCUGCCUUGCUAUGCUAAAAUGGGCAUUCCUGCUUCUGUAUUAGCAUACAACUUUUGGACAUCAUUCAUUGGCUAAGAGCAGUUGGCUGAUGCUCACAGUGAUUCUAUAUGUCCAAAGUUGUCUUUACUGUAUAAAUGCAGACUGGAAGGACUACAGUGCCCAACAGAGAAAGUGUCAAACCGAUGCGUAAACUGUUUAACUGUUUUCAAUAAAGUGACUCUCCAAUCACCAUAGCCAAUACUUGAUGCUGUAGUGGUUAUGGUGCCAGAAAUGCAUGAAUAAUGUUCAAAGUUGCACCACACCCAUGUAAGUAAUCAAACAGUUUCUUUCAUUGGCUGGGUGUCAGAGCACUCCCGUCCCUGUUCCUUUAAGAUAUCAUCUUGGCAUAAUGUUGAAAUAAUAAUACUUCAGUUAAUUAACCUAUUUAAAAAUAAUAAUAUACAUAUAGAGAGACAGAUAAUUGGCAUGAUGUAAUUGACAUAAUCGAUAAUAGUAAAUUCAUUUUUGUAAAGGACAUGACAAUUUUGUAUGCUCACUACUAUUAUUAGAGCAGUGGUGCCAAAUUCUAAUUUCUUAAAACCAUAUGCACACUUGACAUAUUGCUUAAAGUGCUAUUAUAAAAAUAAAAAUACUAUUAUAAAAAAACUGUCAAUAUCUACAAGAGUUUUAGGAUACUUCUAAGAUAGAGUUUGACAACCCUGUUUUAUAGUAAGUACAUCGACAUUGCUGCUUAAAAACUUUGCUGCUAAAUGGGGCUUGUAAAGUAUUAAUUUUUAGAGCAGUGUUUUUUUUUUUUUUUACCUUUCUAGCUAAAACAUUGAUGUAAGGGAAUAAUUUUGAGUAUGUAAGUAAGUAUGUACAUUUGAAGUGUCUACAUUGAAUUUUUCACUUUUUUUGCAAUAUGAAGAGUAACUGUUUCAUAACAUUAAACAAAUUAUAUGUUUAAAAAAACAACUAAAUACUAAUACUUUCUUGCCAUCCGAAAAGUGUAAAAGUGCUCUCUUUUGUUUUGUAUAAAAUAAACAAUAACUCAAUAACCUUAGACCAUGUUGUAACCAUUAGUUUGAAUAGAAAAUGUUUGCAGGGUAAUAUCCCUUUAUGUAUUUACUUUUUGAGGAACCAAAUGCAUUUAAAAAUGCACAAUAAGCUUGAGAAUAGUGAGAAUAGAAUAAAAAAGACCUCAUGAUUUAUUAUUUUUAUGAUACUAUUUAGUAUACAAUAAAUUGUUGUUUGUUUUUUGACCUUUGGUCUUUUUUACCUGUGCCUCAGAUACUCAUACAUUUUUUGGCUAUCAUGUAGCACAAGCACACGUUGCUCCCUCCUAAUCCUCUCUUCUUUAGGUACACUAUUCUCAAGCUUAUUGUCUAUUUCUACUAGGGGUCACCCCCCUGUUCUUAGUCUACCUUUUCUGGCUUUAUCCAAUUACUUUUCAUCAUUUAAAAAUGUAUUACUACUCAAAUUAAAUUAUAUUUUUAGUUUUUUUUCACGUAUUGUCUGGCAUUGCAUAAACUGUGUGAUAGCAAAUGUUUUUUAUGAGUAAUAGCAACGCAGAGGUAUACUUCUGUAAAUGUAUUAAAGUUACUGUUGG